GGCAUCGGAGAAAAAGAAGGGGUAGAUUUCUGAUUUUGCCGUAUUUUUCAUGAUACCUUUUGUAGAGAUGAUCCGCAGAUCGGAUCAACCAUUCCUACGGUGAGCACCCAAAGCGACUUGGCGAAACCACACUAAAGAUGGGCUCAAGAUCUAGAACAGGUCAAGAGAUCUACUCCCAGAUGGUCACGGGCAGAUAGCAGCAAGCAAGCAUGAAUUUGCUAUCUUCUUCUCUUCAUCACUCUGCCUGUCCUAUCCUCCUGCAAAAUUGUAUCCAGGC
Molecule: long non-coding RNA, 277 nt
Filed under: Elaeis guineensis (African oil palm)
Lineage: Eukaryota; Viridiplantae; Streptophyta; Magnoliopsida; Arecales; Arecaceae
Description: long non-coding RNA (EGUI_LNC023043)
Source: RNAcentral